Long non-coding RNA from Triticum dicoccoides, 339 nucleotides. RefSeq lists it as uncharacterized. NCBI's taxonomy places the organism in Eukaryota, Viridiplantae, Streptophyta, Magnoliopsida, Poales, Poaceae. The transcript is spliced from 3 exons. The record is from RefSeq and is a predicted model, not a curated record.
CUUCUCCGAUACCCCCAAACCCCUCGAUAAACCCGAGUCCGGACCUCAACUUCGGAGGCGUCCUCUUCCCCAGGACUCACAACAAUCGGAGCCCAAAAUCGCCGCCACCUCCUCCUACAAUCGGAACUCCGGUCCACCCCGCCGGGCCUCCCCUCCACUGCGCAGUUAUAUGGGCUGAUUGUUUUGAAAAAUAAACCUCAAGAAAAAGAUAAGGAGGUUCCUGUGACCAGCAUCUCGUUGCGAGCGAGAUUCGAGCCUCCUAGUCAUCACUCAUCGAACACCAUUUUGAGGAAAGGAGGAAAGACCUUCUGACCUCUUAAGAGAUCAGGGAUGCCUCCG